GACGAACGCUGGCGGCGUGCUUAACACAUGCAAGUCGAACGGAAAGGCCCUGCUUUUGUGGGGUGCUCGAGUGGCGAACGGGUGAGUAACACGUGAGUAACCUGCCCUUGACUUUGGGAUACUUCAGGAAACUGGGGCUAAUACCGGAUAGGAGCUCCUGCUGCAUGGGGGGGGUUGGAAAGUUUCGGCGGUUGGGGAUGGACUCGCGGCUUAUCAGCUUGUUGGUGGGGUAGUGGCUUACCAAGGCUUUGACGGGUAGCCGGCCUGAGAGGGUGACCGGCCACAUUGGGACUGAGAUACGGCCCAGACUCCUACGGGAGGCAGCAGUGGGGAAUAUUGCACAAUGGGCGGAAGCCUGAUGCAGCAACGCCGCGUGCGGGAUGACGGCCUUCGGGUUGUAAACCGCUUUCGCCUGUGACGAAGCGUGAGUGACGGUAAUGGGUAAAGAAGCACCGGCUAACUACGUG
RNAcentral lists this ribosomal RNA (467 nucleotides) under uncultured bacterium. RNAcentral's name for it is "partial 16S ribosomal RNA". It matches the Rfam family "Bacterial small subunit ribosomal RNA", at positions 28 to 507 of the family's 1533-position model. The record is from RNAcentral.